UACAGAGGUCCCGAGCGUUGUUCGGAUUCACUGGGCGUAAAGGGUGCGCAGGUGGCUUGGCAAGUUUGAUGUUAAAGCUCAGGGCUUAACCCUGAAAUGGCAUUGAAUACUGUUGAGCUGGAGGUUUGGAGGGGGGACUGGAAUUCUUGGUGUAGCAGUGAAAUGCGUAGAUAUCAAGAGGAACACCAGUGGCGAAGGCGAGUCCCUGGACAACACCUGACACUGAGGCACGAAAGCUAGGGGAGCAAACAGG
Molecule: ribosomal RNA, 253 nt
Filed under: uncultured bacterium
Lineage: Bacteria
Description: partial 16S ribosomal RNA
Rfam family: Bacterial small subunit ribosomal RNA
Source: RNAcentral